GGGUCGUUAGCUCAACUGGCAGAGCAACUGACUCUUAAUCAGUAGGUUCGGGGUUCGAUUCCCCGACGACCCACCA
RNAcentral lists this transfer RNA (76 nucleotides) under Desulfobacterales bacterium. Its description in RNAcentral is "tRNA-Lys". It matches the Rfam family "tRNA". From Rfam's summary of the family: Transfer RNA (tRNA) molecules are approximately 80 nucleotides in length. Their secondary structure includes four short double-helical elements and three loops (D, anti-codon, and T loops). RNAcentral also lists the same sequence under 1 other name. The record is from RNAcentral. Lineage: Bacteria; Pseudomonadati; Thermodesulfobacteriota; Desulfobacteria; Desulfobacterales.